GACGAACGCUGGCGGCGUGCCUAAUACAUGCAAGUAGAACGCACAGUUUAUACCGUAGCUUGAUACACCAUAGACUGUGAGUUGCGAACGGGUGAGUAACGCGUAGGUAACCUGCCUGGUAGCGGGGGAUAACUAUUGGAAACGAUAGCUAAUACCGCAUAAUAUUGAUUAUUGCAUGAUAAUUAAUUGAAAGGUGCAAUUGCACCACUACCAGAUGGACCUGCGUUGUAUUAGCUAGUAGGUGAGGUAACGGCUCACCUAGGCGACGAUACAUAGCCGACCUGAGAGGGUGAUCGGCCACACUGGGACUGAGACACGGCCCAGACUCCUACGGGAGGCAGCAGUAGGGAAUCUUCGGCAAUGGACGAAAGUCUGACCGAGCAACGCCGCGUGAGUGAAGAAGGUUUUCGGAUCGUAAAGCUCUGUUGUACGAGAAGAACGGGUGUGAGAGUGGAAAGUUCACACUGUGACGGUAUCUUACCAGAAAGGGACGGCUAACUACGUG
RNAcentral lists this ribosomal RNA (505 nucleotides) under uncultured bacterium. RNAcentral describes it as "partial 16S ribosomal RNA". It matches the Rfam family "Bacterial small subunit ribosomal RNA", at positions 28 to 507 of the family's 1533-position model. The record is from RNAcentral.